GUCUCAGAAUGACUCCCUUGAGAGUCCUGUUCCCGUUUCAUCAAUGCACAGACCCAGAAGACCCCUCCGUCAUGCAGCAUCUACCAUGAGCAUCAGCAUCCUGUGCUGUGCAGCCUUUUGUCUCCUGUGGGCAGGUCCAGUGAAUGCUGGUGUCACUCAGACCCCAAAAUUCCAGAUCCUGAAAACAGGACAGAGCAUGACACUGCAGUGUGCCCAGGAUAUGAACCAUGACUGCAUGUACUGGUAUCGACAAGACCCAGGCAUGGGGCUGAGGCUGAUUCAUUACUCAGUUGGUGAAGGUAGCACUGACAAAGGAGAAGUCCCCGAUGGCUACAAUGUCACCAGAUCAAACACAGAGGAUUUCCCACUCAGACUGGAGUCGGCUGCUCCCUCCCAGACAUCUGUGUACUUCUGUGCCAGCAGUUACUCCACAGCGUUACAAGGCUGCCUCCUCUCUGCACAUAAAGCCAGGCAGGCUCUGCCCUCCUCCCUCACCCAAAACUCAGGGAUGCCCUGAGCAGAGUUCUCUACACCAGAGUCCUUGGAACCCCGAAUGACCCCAAGUGGCCCAGGCAGUAUGAGCCUCGCUCUGUGCCAGGUGCCUCUGCAGGCAGUCUCAGCCAGGCCUGGACUGGUCCCAGGUCCUCAGAUGUCUCGUUUGUUGCUCUGUCUGUUCUUUUCUCAGAGCUCUCCUUUUGGGGUAGGGUGAGGGCUUCCCCAGCUCCUACUUUUCUACUCAUUAUCCUGAGUCCGAGGCCACCUGGAUAAAACAGGAUGUGUAUUUCAGAUCCAUCAAGACUCCCGUCUCUCUCUGGUGACCUUAUUGCUUCCUCUCUCUAGGGUUUCCCCCAGCCCCCCACCCUCACAUUGUCUCUCUUGUGGCCCACCUUUCCCAUCUGGGCAGUCACCCUCCAAGGCCUUGCUGGGUCUCUCCUCCCCCCACCUCCCUGCCGCUCUCUACUGCAGCCAUGAGGGGAGCCUCUCCUGUGCCUCCUUCAUUCCUAUCACAGAGACUUCAAAGCCCAUUUCCUCCGCACUUGGCUGGAGGCUUCCUUUCUGCA
Mandrillus leucophaeus (drill) is the source of this 1061-nucleotide non-coding RNA. The record is from the annotation of a RefSeq genome assembly. NCBI's taxonomy places the organism in Eukaryota, Metazoa, Chordata, Mammalia, Primates, Cercopithecidae.